Molecule: ribosomal RNA, 1462 nt
Filed under: glacial ice bacterium SB100-8-1-1
Lineage: Bacteria
Description: bacterial SSU rRNA
Rfam family: Bacterial small subunit ribosomal RNA
Source: RNAcentral
CGAACGCUGGCGGCGUGCCUAAUACAUGCAAGUCGAGCGAAUCUUUUGGGAGCUUGCUCCCGAAAGAUUAGCGGCGGACGGGUGAGUAACACGUGGGCAACCUGCCUAUAAGACUGGGAUAACUUCGGGAAACCGGAGCUAAUACCGGAUACGUUCUUUUCUCGCAUGAGAGAAGAUGGAAAGACGGUCUCGGCUGUCACUUAUAGAUGGGCCCGCGGCGCAUUAGCUAGUUGGUGGGGUAAUGGCUCACCAAGGCGACGAUGCGUAGCCGACCUGAGAGGGUGAUCGGCCACACUGGGACUGAGACACGGCCCAGACUCCUACGGGAGGCAGCAGUAGGGAAUCUUCCGCAAUGGACGAAAGUCUGACGGAGCAACGCCGCGUGAACGAAGAAGGCCUUCGGGUCGUAAAGUUCUGUUGUUAGGGAAGAACAAGUACCAGAGUAACUGCUGGUACCUUGACGGUACCUAACCAGAAAGCCACGGCUAACUACGUGCCAGCAGCCGCGGUAAUACGUAGGUGGCAAGCGUUGUCCGGAAUUAUUGGGCGUAAAGCGCGCGCAGGUGGUUUCUUAAGUCUGAUGUGAAAGCCCACGGCUCAACCGUGGAGGGUCAUUGGAAACUGGGGAACUUGAGUGCAGAAGAGGAAAGUGGAAUUCCAAGUGUAGCGGUGAAAUGCGUAGAGAUUUGGAGGAACACCAGUGGCGAAGGCGACUUUCUGGUCUGUAACUGACACUGAGGCGCGAAAGCGUGGGGAGCAAACAGGAUUAGAUACCCUGGUAGUCCACGCCGUAAACGAUGAGUGCUAAGUGUUAGAGGGUUUCCGCCCUUUAGUGCUGCAGCUAACGCAUUAAGCACUCCGCCUGGGGAGUACGACCGCAAGGUUGAAACUCAAAGGAAUUGACGGGGGCCCGCACAAGCGGUGGAGCAUGUGGUUUAAUUNGAAGCAACGCGAAGAACCUUACCAGGUCUUGACAUCCUCUGACAAUCCUAGAGAUAGGACGUUCCCCUUCGGGGGACAGAGUGACAGGUGGUGCAUGGUUGUCGUCAGCUCGUGUCGUGAGAUGUUGGGUUAAGUCCCGCAACGAGCGCAACCCUUGAUCUUAGUUGCCAGCAUUCAGUUGGGCACUCUAAGGUGACUGCCGGUGACAAACCGGAGGAAGGUGGGGAUGACGUCAAAUCAUCAUGCCCCUUAUGACCUGGGCUACACACGUGCUACAAUGGAUGGUACAAAGGGCUGCAAACCUGCGAAGGUAAGCGAAUCCCAUAAAGCCAUUCUCAGUUCGGAUUGUAGGCUGCAACUCGCCUACAUGAAGCCGGAAUCGCUAGUAAUCGCGGAUCAGCAUGCCGCGGUGAAUACGUUCCCGGGCCUUGUACACACCGCCCGUCACACCACGAGAGUUUGUAACACCCGAAGUCGGUGAGGUAACCUUUAUGGAGCCAGCCGCCUAAGGUGGGACAGA